Molecule: ribosomal RNA, 523 nt
Filed under: uncultured Glomus
Lineage: Eukaryota; Fungi; Glomeromycota; Glomeromycetes; Glomerales; Glomeraceae
Description: SSU rRNA
Rfam family: Eukaryotic small subunit ribosomal RNA
Source: RNAcentral
CAGCAGCCGCGGUAAUUCCAGCUCCAAUAGCGUAUAUUAAAGUUGUUGCAGUUAAAAAGCUCGUAGUUGAAUUUCGGGGUCAGUAGAUUGGUCAUGCCACUGGUAUGUACUGGUCUCACUGAUUCCUCCUUCCUGAUGAGCCGUAAUGCCAUUAAUUUGGUGUUGCGAGGAAUCUGGACUGUUACUUUGAAAAAAUUAGAGUGUUUAAAGCAGGCUAACGCUUGAAUACAUUAGCAUGGAAUAAUGAAAUAGGACGUUCGAUCUUAUUUUGUUGGUUUCUAAGAUUGACGUAAUGAUUAAUAGGGAUAGUUGGGGGCAUUAGUAUUCAAUUGUCAGAGGUGAAAUUCUUGGAUUUAUUGAAGACUAACUACUGCGAAAGCAUUUGCCAAGGAUGUUUUCAUUAAUCAAGAACGAAAGUUAGGGGAUCGAAGACGAUCAGAUACCGUCGUAGUCUUAACCAUAAACUAUGCCGACUAGGGAUCGGAUGAUGUUAAUUUUUUAAUGACUCAUUCGGCGCCUUACG